AGUAAAUGGAGGCCAACCCCGAUGGUCUUAUACCUGUGCAGUUUUCCUAGACGAGUUUAUGAGACUCCACAAAUCACUGUACGGCCUUAAACAGAGUGGACGCGAAUGGAACGAGAGACUGAAUGCCGUGCUAUUGGAGAUUGGUUUCACUCCUUGUCCUAGUGAACCUUGUUUGUACGUGCAAAGUUGAUGACAAUCUGGGUCUAAUUGUGGUGUACGUGGAUGACUUGAUCAUAGCGAGCUCCAACAAAGAUGACCUAAACGAGAUCAAGUUGCUUAUCUCCAAGAAGUUUGACGUGGUCGACGGCGGCGAUCUUAAACAUUUCCUUGGCAUGGAAAUUGAGAGAGAGAGUGAAACUGGAAGUAUCAAAAUUGGACACAAGCAGUAUGUGGAGACACUCCUUAACGAUUACGGAAUGCAAAAUUGUAAGCCAAGCCGUAUUCCAUUGGAGGCUGGCCAUCAGAUAAAAUGCGACGACGAGGGAUGUGAUCGUGUGAAUAAGGAAUCUUAUCAGUCAUUGAUUGGGUCCCUUCUGUAUCUGGCGAUGACGACUCGACCAGACAUAUUGCAUUCUACUGUGAAGUUGGCACAGCGGAAUGCAGAUCCUCAUAAGGAGCACGAGGCGGCUGCCAAGCGUAUCUUACGCUACCUGAGGGGCACUUCCGAGAAGAAACUACACUACAGAAGAACUGGGCAGAGCAUUCACUGCUUCGGUGAUGCAGACUGGGCUGGCGAUUCUUCAGAUCGCAAAUCAUAUACUGGAUGGGCGUUUUUUGCUGCUGGUGCUGCCUUUAGUUGGGAAUCCAAAAAGCAAAGUAUUGUAGCUCUGAGCAGCACAGAGGCCGAAUAUAUAGCUCUCUCCUCGGCUGCCAAAGAGGCGGUCUAUAUCAGGAAGCUGGUUGCCGAAAUGGGUUUCGGAGAUGUCAAGACUGUGCAGAUCUAUAGCGACAACCAAAGUUCGCAAUGCUUAGUUAAAAAUCCUAGGUUCCAUACAAGAAGCAAACACAUUGACAUUAAGUAUCAUCAUGUAAGAGAUAUAUAUAAGGAUAAAAUUGUAAGCAUUAGUUAUGUUCCCACUGAAGACAUGAUAGCGGAUGUGUUAACAAAGAACUUAAGUAGAAUUAAGCAUAAUAGAUGUAUUAAGCUAAUGGGAAUGUUUUGAGUGAAUAUGUAAACAUACAACGUUGAGAAGGAGUGUUGAAUAUAUAAUGAACAUAUAUGUAUAAUGAACAACGAUGUAUGUAUAUAAGAAACUUGUGUACUCAAACACUCAAGUUGCCUGCGAGCAACGGUUAAUUCCUUUUUGAGUGUUUUCGCUACUAAUCGGCGAUCACUCUUUGUUCGCAUAUUUUGACGCUGCCUGUGUGCAGCAAGUAUACAUAAUUUGAAUUCAGUUACCAUAAAACCUCUGCGCUGUAAACACGUUUAAUAGUCCCAUUAUAAGGACACUAGCUUCUUAAAUGGACAAAUUGCGUCUAGCAAUAAUGCGAUUGAGCAAUAACAGGUCUGUGAUGCCCUGUGCUGCACGCGCGCUACAAUGAAUGUAUCAACGUGUAUUUGCUAGACCGAGAGGUCCGGAUAAACCGCUGAACCACUUUCAUGCUUGGGAUUGUGAACUGAAACUGUUCACAUGAACUUGGAAUUCCCAGUAAGUGUGAGUCAUUAACUCGCAUUGAUUACGUCCCUGCUCUUUGUACACACCGCCCGUCGCUACUACCGAUUGAAUUAUUUAGUGAGGUCUCCGGGCGUGAUCACUGUGACGCCUUGCGUGUUACGGUUGUUUCGCAAAAGUUGACCGAACUUGAUUAUUUAGAGGAAGUAAAAGUCGUAACAAGGUUUCCGUAGGUGAACCUGCGGAAGGAUCAUUA
RNAcentral lists this non-coding RNA (1869 nucleotides) under Drosophila sechellia. RNAcentral describes it as "Eukaryotic small subunit ribosomal RNA". It matches the Rfam family "Eukaryotic small subunit ribosomal RNA", at positions 1364 to 1831 of the family's 1831-position model. Lineage: Eukaryota; Metazoa; Arthropoda; Insecta; Diptera; Drosophilidae. The record is from Rfam by way of RNAcentral.